Molecule: ribosomal RNA, 465 nt
Filed under: uncultured bacterium
Lineage: Bacteria
Description: partial 16S ribosomal RNA
Rfam family: Bacterial small subunit ribosomal RNA
Source: RNAcentral
GACGAACGCUGGCGGCGUGCUUAACACAUGCAAGUCGAACGGAAAGGCCCUGCUUGCAGGGUACUCGAGUGGCGAACGGGUGAGUAACACGUGGGUGAUCUGCCCUGCACUUCGGGAUAAGCCUGGGAAACUGGGUCUAAUACCGGAUAGGAGCCAUUUUUAGUGUGAUGGUUGGAAAGUUUUUUCGGUGUAGGAUGAGCUGGCGGCCUAUCAGCUUGUUGGUGGGGUAAUGGCCUACCAAGGCGGCGACGGGUAGCCGGCCUGAGAGGGUGGACGGCGACAUUGGGACUGAGAGACGGCCCAGACUCCUACGGGAGGCAGCAGUGGGGAAUAUUGCACAAUGGGCGCAAGCCUGAUGCAGCGACGCCGCGUGGGGGAUGACGGCCUUCGGGUUGUAAACUCCUUUCGCUAGGGACGAAGCUUUUUGUGACGGUACCUAGAUAAGAAGCACCGGCUAACUACGUG